RNAcentral lists this ribosomal RNA (253 nucleotides) under uncultured bacterium. Its description in RNAcentral is "partial 16S ribosomal RNA". It matches the Rfam family "Bacterial small subunit ribosomal RNA", at positions 524 to 776 of the family's 1533-position model. The record is from RNAcentral.
UACGUAGGGUGCGAGCGUUAAUCGGAAUUACUGGGCGUAAAGUGUGCGCAGGCGGCCGCGCAAGUCGAGUGUGAAAGCCCCGGGCUUAACUUGGGAAUUGCGCUCGAAACUACGUGGCUGGAGUGUGGCAGAGGAAGGUGGGAUUCCAGGUGUAGCGGUGAAAUGCGUAGAGAUCUGGAGGAACACCGAUGGCGAAGGCAGCCUUCUGGGCCAACACUGACGCUCAUGCACGAAAGCGUGGGGAGCAAACAGG